RNAcentral lists this ribosomal RNA (253 nucleotides) under uncultured bacterium. Its description in RNAcentral is "partial 16S ribosomal RNA". It matches the Rfam family "Bacterial small subunit ribosomal RNA", at positions 524 to 776 of the family's 1533-position model. The record is from RNAcentral.
UACGUAGGGGGCAAGCGUUGUCCGGAUUUAUUGGGCGUAAAGAGCGUGUAGGCGGCCGCACAGGUCCGUUGUGAAAACUGGAGGCUUAACCUUCAGACGUCGAUGGAAACCGUGCGGCUAGAGUCCGGAAGAGGAGAAUGGAAUUCCUGGUGUAGCGGUGAAAUGCGCAGAUAUCAGGAAGAACACCCGCGGCUAAGGCGGUUCUCUAGUACGGUACUGACGCUGAGACGCGAAAGCGUGGGGAGCGAACAGG